Molecule: long non-coding RNA, 666 nt
Filed under: Fukomys damarensis (Damara mole-rat)
Lineage: Eukaryota; Metazoa; Chordata; Mammalia; Rodentia; Bathyergidae
Description: lncRNA (ENSFDAG00000021574.1)
Source: RNAcentral
AAUGUGGUUUCCAUAGGUAAGUUAUAUGCCUUUCUGGUUUCUGACAGCACUCAAUUGUGGCACGAGAUGGUAGAUGCUAAAUUAUGAAGACCGUCAACUUGAGAAGUAAACCACAUUGGGCUCAUUUUCUGCUUCUCCAAAUAUUUGAAGCUGAACAAAUUAUUUAACUUCUUUGGAACCCUGGAUUCUCCACCAUUUCUUUACACCUGAGAAGUGAAAACUUUCAGAAGUGUGCAUUGUUGCUGACAUGGCAGGAACCCAGCCCUAGGAAUACUGAGAGAAUGAAAAACAGAUGGGUAUCACCAAUAUAUUUCUUAAAGUUUUCACAGCAGUUUAAUAAAGGAUACAUACACUGUACAAAGGCAUUAUUAACUUAUUUAACAGUCUAAAAAUUAUUUUAGAAAAUACAAUAACUAUGAAUACUAAAUACAUGGGGAGUAAAGGAAAUACCUGAUGAAAUAAAUUAAGUAAAUAUUUGUUGUGGCUGUAAAGGCAACAGCAAACACACUGGUGGAAAGAAAUAUCUAGAAAGAUUUGAACUAUAAAAAAGUAAAGGUAAGGCUAGCUAGCAACAUGUUUUCUGUAGAUACUAUAAAAACAGCAAAUAAAUCUCAUUUAGGGCCAAUAUCCUGACUUUGACCCAGUACCUUAAAUCUAUAUUUUCAG